UCCCACUCAUCGUGGGCAGUUUCUCCAGAGUGCAUCCUUUCGGAUUAGCAACAGGAGAUGGGGGUUGCGCUCGUUGCGGGACUUAACCCAACAUCUCACGACACGAGCUGACGACAACCAUGCAGCACCUCGGCUAGUUCCUGACUUUACAGGUCAUCCCCACUUUCAUAGGUCUUACUUCUAGUCGUUCGAGCCCAGGUAAGGUUUUUCGCGUUGCGUCGAAUUAAACCACAUACUCCACCGCUUGUGCGGGUCCCCGUCAAUUCCUUUGAGUUUUAAUCUUGCGACCGUACUCCCCAGGCGGUCGACUUCACGCGUUAGCUGCGGUACUAAGGAAGUCUCCUUCCCCAACACCUAGUCGACAUCGUUUAGGGCGUGGACUAC
RNAcentral lists this unclassified non-coding RNA (384 nucleotides) under uncultured bacterium. RNAcentral describes it as "contains 16S-23S intergenic spacer region". The record is from RNAcentral.